UACUGUUUUAGCAGUGAAAAGAAUACCCACAGACAAGGCACGGGUGGUGGGUCACCAAAGGCUGACCUUACCCCAGCAGAGGACAUGGCCUUGGAGCUAAAUAAAGGCAGGCCCGUCUUAGAGGGGAUCCCUGGGGGAAAGAGACGAGCAUAGGUUCCUCCCAAGAUGCCACCCGCUUCAUUCAAGUGCCUGGCAGCACUGUGUUCCUGUUAGAGCCACCAGCACAAGCACCAGACGAUGCUGAUCCAGGUGAAGGCCCCAGUGCAGCAGCAACAGCACAUGAUGGAGACGAUGAUGAGGAGGAGACCAUCUCUCUGGAUUCCAGAAGGCAUGAGGACCCAGAUGCUAUACAGUGGGAAAACCAGCCUGGCAACAUAGUGCGUAUUAAUAAAAGGACACCACAUCCUGCCAAAUUCCAGCUGCGCUAAUUGUAUUGUGUUCACAGAGCUCACAAGCUAUCAGAAAGUUGUAUGGCAACCACCUCCGGCGCCAAAUAGAACUGGCAGACAUAGACAUUCAGUACAAGAAGAAAAAGAUGGAAAAUCUUGCACUGGAGUCCGAAAUAAAAAAGAGGACAAUUAGGAAACUGGACCUUGAAAUAAAAAAACUUGAGAGGGAGCUCCAAGAAGAUGACACAGCUCAAAAUAAAAAUUAGCAAUCAGUACAACCAAGUCAUCGUUAUAAGGCAUCACCCUCUUUUGCCUACCCCCCCAGCACCAGGUGUGGCCACUAGCCUAUAUGAAGGCCCAAAAUUGUGUGUUCCUUUCUGCUCUGACAAUGGCAUGCCCAUUCGUGCGAGAUGUGGUGGAUGAAGAAGCACUUGUGCUGAGGAGAGCCUUCAGGCGAGAAAGGGUCUUCAGGGACCGGUUGGACCCACUGGCCUUCCCUGAUGACCAUCUAUAUGAAAGAUACAGGUUUUCUGCAGAUGGCAUCAGGUAUCUAUGCAGACUACUGGGUCCCAGGAUUAAGCACCGCACUGCACGGAGCCAUGCACUGAGUGUGGAGCAAAUGGUUUGUGUGGCCUUGCGCUUUUUGCUAGUGGAGCCUUCCUGUACUCAGUGGGGAUGCAGAACAGCUGAACAAGGCCACAAUUUGCCGCACAAUAAGGAGUGUGUGUCUGGCUAUCAAAGCAUUAGCAGAUGUCUUCAUCUCCUUCCCUGGCCACAGAAGACUCUGUGACAUCAAAGAGGAGUUCUAUAGGAUUGCAGGUUUCCCCAAUGUCAUUGGUGCAGUGGACUGCGCACACAUAAGGAUAAAAGCCCCCUCAGGUGCCCAUGAGGCCGAUUUUGUGAAUAGGAAAUCCUUUCACAGCAUUAAUGUUCAGAUGGUCUGCAAUGCUGACUGUGAUCAGCAAUGUUGUGGCAAAAUGGCCUGGCUCAGUCCAUGACUCCAGAAUCUUUCGGGCCUCUGAAAUCUAUCAGUGCCUAUCACAAGGUGAAUUCUCUGGUGUGUUGCUGGGAGACUGCCAGCCUUUUCUCCUGACACCUUUCACAGACCCCCAGGAAGCACAGCAGGCCUACAACCAUGCCCAUGCCAGGACCAGGGCCAGAGUUGAAAUGACCUUUGGCCUCCUGAAGGCACGCUUUCACUGCCUUCACAAAUUAAGGGUCAGCCCUGUUAGGGCAUGUGAUAUUACUGUGGCUUGUGCUGUCCUCCACAAUGUGGCCUGCCUGAGGAAGGAGAGGGCCCCCAGAGUGCCACCAGCCAUGGACUGGGACAAUCCGGCAAUCUUCCCUGAUGACGACAGUGGUCGGCUGCUGAGGGACCAAUAUGUGUUGAAUUAUUUUAGUUAGUAUGUGUGCUUUCAAUUUUGGUUAAAUAUGUCCUGCGGUGGCAGAGGAAUUUGGGUUUUUUUGGGUUCGUUUUUUGACGAAUUUGGCCUCUUAUGAUGUUUGUGCGGUAUACUGUGUGUAAUACAAGGCUGCAGGGAGGCUACUGCAUCCAUUCAUUUGUCUGUUCAGUUGAUGUGUAUGGAUUUGUCCUGCAUUUAUUUUAGUGUGCAGACAUGCAGGGUGUGUUAUAUACAGACCUUUGAAUGUGUAUGUAUCAUUUUGUAUAAUAUGCUUGGAUUCUGUGCUUUCCAUCUUGUAGAGUCACUGUGACUUCAGUUUCGAAAGGAGCUGAUGGCUUACCUGCAUUGUUUUGUCCUUAUUCAAUAAAGGAACAUAAUGUUACACAUUGUGUUUUUAUAUUCA
This is a long non-coding RNA of Oncorhynchus nerka (sockeye salmon), 2195 nucleotides long. RefSeq lists it as uncharacterized. The record is from RefSeq and is a predicted model, not a curated record. Lineage: Eukaryota; Metazoa; Chordata; Actinopteri; Salmoniformes; Salmonidae. The transcript is spliced from 9 exons.